UGGGUCUUCCAGGAGCGCGCUUGAGCGGACGCUGCCUACCGGUGGCCGGGCGGGAUGUAACCCGCUGCUGAGCUGGCAGCUCUGUGUCGCUAGGCUUCGGCCCGGCCGCCGCCGCACAUAAGCUGCGAGGAGGAGCUUUACGACUUCCCGGUCUUCGGGGCCGGGCGCAGCAAGGGCCAGACUCUGCGCUAGCAGGCGCUGCGCGCCAACCGGCCGGCACCUGUCGCAGAAGGUGCAACCGAUCGCACUGUCGCGCCGAAGCUCCUCAAUGGCCAGCGCCAGCUGCAGCCCCGGCCGCCCACUCGCCUCACCUGAGCCUGGGAGCUUGAAAAAUCACAUUUGAGAAGAGGAUUGGAUCCUAGCCAUAACAUAAAUAUAAGGGUGGAACCAAAGUUUUAAUCAAAGAAGGUGGUGUUCAGUUGCUGCUUACAAUAGUUGAUACCCCAGGAUUUGGAGAUGCAGUGGAUAACAGUAAUUGCUGGCAGCCUGUUAUCAAUUACAUUGAUAUUAAAUUUGAGGACUACCUAAAUGCAGAAUCGCGAGUGAACAGAUGUCAGAUGCCUGGUAACAGGGUGCAGUGUUGUUUAUACUUCAUUGCUCCUUCAGGACAUGGACCAUUACAUAACUGAAGACUCCCACCUUCAGGCAGGAUUGGGUAGUACGUGUUUGUAACUACCUGGCAUUGCCUUUUGUUGAGAGAAUUAUCUUCUGGUAACUUCAUUGAAAAGGCCUCUUUAGGCAUGAAAUCACCUGCCAGCUGUGCUGAGGACAGGCUUCACAGAGCUCCUGGAGGCUAAUUAAGGUGCAGAGUUCAGAGCAGAAAGAUGCUUCACUAUACCUGUGGCAGGAUGGCCACCAGGGCCUGUUCCCUGGCCAGAGUAAGCACUCUUUCCCUAGGGAUUUGGAACAGCCCCAUUCUCACCUGGUGUUUACCCCAGGUUUUGAAGAGAUUCCAAACUAGAGCAGCAAGCAAAGUCUAGAGCUGACUGGGGAACCAGCCCUACCCUGGAUAUUGGCCUCUGAUGAAAGCACCACUAAACCUCACCUUCUCUCCUAAAUCUCUUCAGAAAUGCUUACUCUCUGUGAUAGACAUGGAACAGAUUGUUUUGCCUCAGGGAUUUAUUGAUUGAUUUUGCCAAAGUCUUUCCCAAGGCUCCUUUCAAAACUGGACUGAUCCCUUGGUUCUGGGAAUGAGUGGUGAACAUCAGACCUCUGGAAUGGUGGCUGGUCAAUGUCUUUGCCCUCUCAAGUUGCUCUUGAAUGUUGAUUCAACUCAUUAGGACAUACUUGGAUGAUGAAUUAGAAGGAGCAUCUUUGCCCUCUACUUACAGAUCCUAGGAACAAUUUGUGGAAUUAUCAGUAAGCAAUAUCUGUAACAGAUAAAAUGUCUGCUUUCCCUUUGCCCCUCUUAGCCUAUGACAUGCCACAUCCAAUUUGUCUUCGUUCCAACUGUGAGAGGUCUUAAUUUCAUCAUUCUGGCCUUUUGCAGUUAAAUGUUCUCCAAGGAUAUGAUCUAUGGGGAGAGGACUGAUAGUGGAACUAAUCUUUCAAAGUUCUGCUUAAGCAAUUGUAGAUAACAUAGGAGAAGAAACUCUGGAAACAAUUAUGAUUAUCCUAGUUCUGCCCCUGUGGAAAUUCAAUCCGAAACCCUUCAUGUUUUUGCUUCUCUCUUCUCUACAUGGAUGGAAUAUGUUAUACUUUUUUGAGCUGAAAAAUCUAAAUAAUUAGAAAAAGACAAAGUUGUAAUGAGUUUUCUGUUUAAACUUAUAGGACCCUUUCUAAUAAAAGUGUUAUUGUAAUCAUUGAAUCGUUAG
RNAcentral lists this long non-coding RNA (1814 nucleotides) under Homo sapiens (human). Lineage: Eukaryota; Metazoa; Chordata; Mammalia; Primates; Hominidae. The record is from RNAcentral.